AAUUAUUGCUGCAGAAGUUGAGUUUUAGAGACGAAAGAAAACAUGAUUUGGAGGGGAUAAAAAAGAAUAUCCCUUGUGGUUGAGGCAGAUACAUCAAUUGAUGUAUUGAUAAAAAAGCUUUUGAUUUUUAUAAUGGUGCAUUAACAUACACACCCAAAAUGAAAUGUCAUUCAGAUGAGUUGUUCUAAACAUUAAGCAACACCUUAAAGUAGUAUUCCACAAAAAUUUUAGAUAUGCUACCUGAGAAGUGUCUUACUCAAUUAUGACUAAAUUUUUAAACCUUUAACAA
This 289-nucleotide unclassified non-coding RNA is filed under the name Hevea brasiliensis (rubber tree). The record is from RNAcentral. Lineage: Eukaryota; Viridiplantae; Streptophyta; Magnoliopsida; Malpighiales; Euphorbiaceae.